AGAAGACUAGUUUAUAUAUAUAUAAAAUAUUAGAUUGUAAAUCUAAAGAUUUGCCUUCUAU
This 61-nucleotide transfer RNA is filed under the name Toxocara vitulorum. RNAcentral's name for it is "tRNA-Tyr". Lineage: Eukaryota; Metazoa; Nematoda; Chromadorea; Rhabditida; Toxocaridae. The record is from RNAcentral.